This 411-nucleotide ribosomal RNA is filed under the name uncultured microorganism. RNAcentral describes it as "bacterial SSU rRNA". It matches the Rfam family "Bacterial small subunit ribosomal RNA", at positions 9 to 416 of the family's 1533-position model. The record is from RNAcentral.
GAGUUUGAUCCUGGCUCAGAUUGAACGCUGGCGGCAUGCCUUACACAUGCAAGUCGAACGGCAGCAUGAUCUAGCUUGCUAGAUUGAUGGCGAGUGGCGAACGGGUGAGUAAUACAUCGGAACGUGCCCUGUAGUGGGGAUAACUAGUCGAAAGAUUAGCUAAUACCGCAUACGACCUGAGGGUGAAAGUGGGGGACCGCAAGGCCUCAUGCUAUAGGAGCGGCCGAUGUCUGAUUAGCUAGUUGGUGGGGUAAAGGCCCGACCAAGGCGACGAUCAGUAGCUGGUCUGAGAGGACGAUCAGCCACACUGGGACUGAGACACGGCCCAGACUCCUACGGGAGGCAGCAGUGGGGAAUUUUGGACAAUGGGCGAAAGCCUGAUCCAGCAAUGCCGCGUGUGUGAAGAAGGCC